GAUGAAGAACGCAGCGAAAUGCGAUAAGUAAUGUGAAUUGCAGAAUUCAGUGAAUCAUCGAAUCUUUGAACGCACCUUGCGCCCUUUGGCCAUUCCGAAGGGCAUGCCUGUUUGAGUAUCAUGAACACCUCAACUCUUUAUGGUUUUCCAUGAUGAGCUUGGACUCUGGGGGUUUUGCUGGCUCACAGUCGGCUCCUCUAAAAUGAAUCAGCUUACCAGUGUUUGGUGGGUAUCAUGGGUGUGAUAACUAUCUACGCUUGUGGUUUUCCACCAGGCAACCUUCAGUAAUUGGGGUUCACUGGGGCUCACAAAUGUCUUUCUUCAGUGAGGACAGCUCUUUGAAUGUUUGAUCUCAAAUCAGGUAGGACUACCCGCUGAACUUAAGCAUAUCAAUAAGCGGAGGA
RNAcentral lists this unclassified non-coding RNA (404 nucleotides) under soil metagenome. RNAcentral describes it as "partial contains 5.8S ribosomal RNA, internal transcribed spacer 2, and large subunit ribosomal RNA". The stretch from base 1 to 121 matches the Rfam family "5.8S ribosomal RNA", at positions 35 to 154 of the family's 154-position model. The record is from RNAcentral.